RNAcentral lists this ribosomal RNA (162 nucleotides) under Opuntia sp. LCM-2011a. Its description in RNAcentral is "5.8S ribosomal RNA". It matches the Rfam family "5.8S ribosomal RNA". From Rfam's summary of the family: 5.8S ribosomal RNA (5.8S rRNA) is a component of the large subunit of the eukaryotic ribosome. The record is from RNAcentral. Lineage: Eukaryota; Viridiplantae; Streptophyta; Magnoliopsida; Caryophyllales; Cactaceae.
AACGACUCUCGGCAACGGAUAUCUCGGCUCUCGCAUCGAUGAAGAACGCAGCGAAAUGCGAUACUUGGUGUGAAUUGCAGAAUCCCGUGAACCAUCGAGUCUUUGAACGCAAGUUGCGCCCGAAGCCUUCCGGCCGAGGGCACGUCUGCCUGGGCGUCACGC